CCUACGGGUGGCAGCAGUAGGGAAUAUUGCUCAAUGGGCGAAAGCCUGAAGCAGCGACGCCGCGUGAGGGAUGAAGGUUUUCGGAUUGUAAACUCCUUUUAUUAGGGAAGAUAAUGACGGUAUCUAACGAAUAAGCACCUGCUAACACCGUGCCAGCAGCCGCGGUAAUACGGAGGGUGCGAGCGUUACUCGGAAUGACUGGGCGUAAAGAGCGCGUAGGCGGGAUAGCAAGUCACAUGUGAAAUCCUAGGGCUUAACCAUAGAACUGCAUUUGAAACUGGUAAUCUAGAGUAUGUGAGAGGUAGGUGGAAUUCCUGGUGUAGGGGUGAAAUCCGUAGAGAUCAAGAGGAAGACUCAUUGCGAAGGCGACCUGCUAGAACAUAACUGACGCUGAGGCGCGAAAGCGUGGGGAGCAAACAGGAUUAGAUACCCCAGUAGUC
This 440-nucleotide ribosomal RNA is filed under the name uncultured bacterium. RNAcentral describes it as "partial 16S ribosomal RNA". It matches the Rfam family "Bacterial small subunit ribosomal RNA", at positions 338 to 795 of the family's 1533-position model. The record is from RNAcentral.